UAAAUAGAACACUAAAGAAUGGUAAUAAGCAGGCAUAAAGUUUAAGAAAGUAAAAAGAAUUUUUAAAUUUUGUAGUCAUAAAUUAAAGAUAUAUCAAAUAUAUUAAUAUAUUCUUUAAGCAUGUCCUAUAUUGGAUAGUUGAAAUCAAAAGUUUAUAAAAAAUGAAAAGAAAUAGUUUUUAAAAAAGGAUAAGUGGUGU
This 199-nucleotide long non-coding RNA is filed under the name Solanum tuberosum (potato). RNAcentral's name for it is "long non-coding RNA (STUB_LNC007112)". The record is from RNAcentral. Lineage: Eukaryota; Viridiplantae; Streptophyta; Magnoliopsida; Solanales; Solanaceae.